AUAUAAUUAAGUGGAGGAAAAGAAACUAACAAGGAUUCCCUUAGUAAUGGCGAAUGAACAGGGAAGAGCACAAUAUGAAAAUCGGCAGCUUUGCUGCUGAAUUGUAGUCUCAAAAAUUGCUUCUGGAGAAGGCGUACGGGCAAGUCUCUUGGAAAAGAGCGUCAGAGAAGGUGAGAACCCUGUGGUUCCUGUACAGUCCUUUUCGUAAGGAGGCAUUUUCACGAGUCGCGUUCCUUGGGACUGGAGCGCAAAAUAGGUGGUAAAUUUCAUCUAAUGCUAAAUAUCGGCGAGACCGAUAGCGCACAAGUA
Molecule: ribosomal RNA, 309 nt
Filed under: uncultured eukaryote
Lineage: Eukaryota
Description: partial large subunit ribosomal RNA
Rfam family: Eukaryotic large subunit ribosomal RNA
Source: RNAcentral